UCUAGGUGGAUUUCAUUCAUAGUGCAUGUCUUACAUCUAGGUGGAUUUCAAAAUAAAUGAUAUACAAGUGGUUGAGUUGGCCGAUGUUAACAUAGUAAUUUUAUAUGUACAAAGUAGAGAAUAGUACAGAAGGGGGAAGAAUUAGAGAAAGAAAAAGGAGGAAUGUGAGAGCAGAAUAUACAUGGUUAGAAGAAGAGUUAUUCAUGGUUUACACGAUCGAAGGUUGUAAAUCAAGGGACAGAGUCAUAUUCUCAGUUAGACUAUAUAAUCAGGAAUAAGAUAUCAAUGAUUCGUGGGUUGAUGUGAGUUACAGUUAUUAUAAGGGUCGGUGGCUGACGCAUUUUGACAACUUCUCUUCCUCAUCAUUUUUGCAUGUAGAUAAAUGUGUAGUAUAUAGAGUGGUGAGAGGGUCCCACUACGGUUUAGAAUGUUUUGAAAUAUGUACCUGAUAAAUAUUGAUUUUUGAAAUGACAUAAUAUGUGCGUUUUAUGUA
This is a long non-coding RNA of Salvia hispanica, 493 nucleotides long. RefSeq lists it as uncharacterized. The record is from RefSeq and is a predicted model, not a curated record. Lineage: Eukaryota; Viridiplantae; Streptophyta; Magnoliopsida; Lamiales; Lamiaceae.